AGGAUAAACGCUGGCGGCGUGCCUAACACAUGCAAGUCGAACGUCUCUUCUUUCGGGAAGAGGAGUAGCGGACGGGUGAGGAACACGUGGGAACCUGCCCUACAGUGAGGAAUACCGGCGAGAAAUCGCCGACAAGACCGCAUAGCCCUCUCUGGUGAGAGCCAGAGAAGGAAAGCUUCGCAAGAGGCGCUGGAGGAGGGGCCUGCGUCCGAUUAGCUAGUUGGUGGGGUAAGAGCCUACCAAGGCGCCGAUCGGUAGCUGGUCUGAGAGGACGAUCAGCCACACUGGGAUUGAGAACGGCCCAGACUCCUACGGGGGGCAGCAGUGAGGAAUUUUCGGCAAUGGGGGAAACCCUGACCGAGCAACGCCGCGUGCAGGAAGACGGCCUUCGGGUUGUAAACUGCUUUUCUUUGGGACGAGCAAGGACGGUACCAGAGGAAUCAGCCCGGCUCACUACGUGCCAGCAGCCGCGU
This 473-nucleotide ribosomal RNA is filed under the name uncultured bacterium. Its description in RNAcentral is "SSU rRNA". It matches the Rfam family "Bacterial small subunit ribosomal RNA", at positions 26 to 520 of the family's 1533-position model. The record is from RNAcentral.